This 525-nucleotide ribosomal RNA is filed under the name Bacillus sp. CH363b_12T. RNAcentral's name for it is "bacterial SSU rRNA". It matches the Rfam family "Bacterial small subunit ribosomal RNA", at positions 71 to 581 of the family's 1533-position model. Lineage: Bacteria; Bacillati; Bacillota; Bacilli; Caryophanales; Bacillaceae. The record is from RNAcentral.
GAUGGGAGCUUGCUCCCUGAGAUUAGCGGCGGACGGGUGAGUAACACGUGGGCAACCUGCCUAUAAGACUGGGAUAACUUCGGGAAACCGGAGCUAAUACCGGAUACGUUCUUUUCUCGCAUGAGAGAAGAUGGAAAGACGGUUUACGCUGUCACUUAUAGAUGGGCCCGCGGCGCAUUAGCUAGUUGGUGAGGUAAUGGCUCACCAAGGCGACGAUGCGUAGCCGACCUGAGAGGGUGAUCGGCCACACUGGGACUGAGACACGGCCCAGACUCCUACGGGAGGCAGCAGUAGGGAAUCUUCCGCAAUGGACGAAAGUCUGACGGAGCAACGCCGCGUGAACGAAGAAGGCCUUCGGGUCGUAAAGUUCUGUUGUUAGGGAAGAACAAGUACCAGAGUAACUGCUGGUACCUUGACGGUACCUAACCAGAAAGCCACGGCUAACUACGUGCCAGCAGCCGCGGUAAUACGUAGGUGGCAAGCGUUGUCCGGAAUUAUUGGGCGUAAAGCGCGCGCAGGUGGUUC